CCCUUAGAUGUUCUGGGCAGCACGCGCGCUACAAUGGUCUUCGCACACGGAUGCAUUCUCGAAGGAGAAUGCCAAUCUUGGAAUCUAUGCCUUGGUCGGGACAGUUGCUUGCAAUUUUUCGACUCGAACCAGGAAUUCCUUGUAAUCGUGAUUCAUCACAUCACGAUGAAUACGUCCCUGCCCUUUGUACACACCGCCCGUCGCUCCUACCGAUCGAAGAGUUAGGUGAAUUGUUUUGAUCGAUAAGAUUUGACUAUGGUCAACUCUCGUUGUGAAAUUCUGUGAAUCUGACUGUUUAGAGGAAGGAAAAGUCGUAACA
This 319-nucleotide ribosomal RNA is filed under the name uncultured eukaryote. Its description in RNAcentral is "partial 18S ribosomal RNA". It matches the Rfam family "Eukaryotic small subunit ribosomal RNA", at positions 1470 to 1796 of the family's 1831-position model. The record is from RNAcentral.